Molecule: ribosomal RNA, 303 nt
Filed under: uncultured bacterium
Lineage: Bacteria
Description: partial 16S ribosomal RNA
Rfam family: Bacterial small subunit ribosomal RNA
Source: RNAcentral
AGCAGUCGCCGCGGGAAUACAGAGGGUGCGAGCGUUAAUCGGAUUUACUGGGCGUAAAGCGUGCGUAGGCGGCUUCUUAAGUCGGAUGUGAAAUCCCUGAGCUUAACUUAGGAAUUGCAUUCGAUACUGGGAAGCUAGAGUAUGGGAGAGGAUGGUAGAAUUCCAGGUGUAGCGGUGAAAUGCGUAGAGAUCUGGAGGAAUACCGAUGGCGAAGGCAGCCAUCUGGCCUUAUACUGACGCUGAGGUACGAAAGCAUGGGGAGCAAACAGGAUUAGAUACCCCAGUAGUCCCUGUCUCUUAUAA